CCUACGGGAGGCAGCAGUGAGGAAUAUUGGUCAAUGGGCGCAAGCCUGAACCAGCCAAGUCGCGUGAGGGAAGACGGCCCUACGGGUUGUAAACCUCUUUUGCCGGGGAGCAAGCCUGAGCACGUGUGCCCAGGCGGAGAGUACCCGGAGAAAAAGCAUCGGCUAACUCCGUGCCAGCAGCCGCGGUAAUACGGAGGAUGCGAGCGUUAUCCGGAUUUAUUGGGUUUAAAGGGUGCGCAGGCGGGCUGUUAAGCCGGCGGUAAAAAUUCAGGGCUCAACCCUGUCGAGCCGUCGGAACUGGCAGUCUUGAGUGGGCGAGAAGUAUGCGGAAUGCGUGGUGUAGCGGUGAAAUGCAUAGAUAUCACGCAGAACGCCGAUUGCGAAGGCAGCCUGCCGGGGUGCGACUGACGCUGAGGCUCGAAGGUGCGGGUAUCAAACAGGAUUAGAUACCCUUGUAGUC
Molecule: ribosomal RNA, 460 nt
Filed under: uncultured bacterium
Lineage: Bacteria
Description: partial 16S ribosomal RNA
Rfam family: Bacterial small subunit ribosomal RNA
Source: RNAcentral